Molecule: long non-coding RNA, 269 nt
Filed under: Elaeis guineensis (African oil palm)
Lineage: Eukaryota; Viridiplantae; Streptophyta; Magnoliopsida; Arecales; Arecaceae
Description: long non-coding RNA (EGUI_LNC043063)
Source: RNAcentral
AUGGGGCACCAGUCGAGGUCAUCGGUGUGUCUGGAAUUAUGCUAGUUAGGCUGAAGCUGGAGGCCUCGAUGCUGAGGGAUCCCACGUUGGUGAACGAGUUAUUCUCCAGACUGCUCCUCCCUGUCGAUGUGAACAAGCUGCUAAGCAUUUCUUGGAGGGAGAUAAGGAGAAGAGCAGUGGAUUACCUCAUCCGGAUAUUUAUAGACUUUCUUAUUUAGCACUUACUGUAUACUCAUUUAUUACUUAUGAGUUUUUUUUCUUCAAUUGCC